GUGCCAGCAGCCGCGGUAAUACGUAGGUCCCGAGCGUUGUCCGGAUUUAUUGGGCGUAAAGGGAGCGCAGGCGGUCAGGAAAGUCUGGAGUAAAAGGCUAUGGCUCAACCAUAGUGUGCUCUGGAAACUGUCUGACUUGAGUGCAGAAGGGGAGAGUGGAAUUCCAUGUGUAGCGGUGAAAUGCGUAGAUAUAUGGAGGAACACCAGUGGCGAAAGCGGCUCUCUGGUCUGUCACUGACGCUGAGGCUCGAAAGCGUGGGUAGCGAACAGGAUUAGAU
Molecule: ribosomal RNA, 278 nt
Filed under: uncultured Streptococcaceae bacterium
Lineage: Bacteria; Bacillati; Bacillota; Bacilli; Lactobacillales; Streptococcaceae
Description: partial 16S ribosomal RNA
Rfam family: Bacterial small subunit ribosomal RNA
Source: RNAcentral